AGCAGCCGCGGUAAUUCCAGCUCCAAUAGCGUAUAUUAAAGUUGCUGCAGUUAAAAAGCUCAUAGUUGAAUUCCGGGACUAAUAUGUCGGUCGUGCCUCGGUACGUACUGGCUUAUUGGUUUCUCCUCUCUGAAGAACCAUGAUGUCAUUUAUUUGGUGUCGUGGGGAAUCAGGACUGUUACUUUGAAAAAAUUAGAGUGUUUAAAGCAGGCUCACGCUUGAAUACAUUAGCAUGGAAUAAUGAAAUAGGACGUUUGAUUCUAUUUUGUUGGUUUCUAGGAUCGACGUAAUGAUUAAUAGGGAUAGUUGGGGGCAUUAGUAUUCAAUUGUCAGAGGUGAAAUUCUUGGAUUUAUUGAAGACUAACUACUGCGAAAGCAUUUGCCAAGGAUGUUUUCAUUAAUCAAGAACGAAAGUUAGGGGAUCGAAGACGAUCAGAUACCGUCGUAGUCUUAACCAUAAACUAUGCCGACUAGGGAUCGGAUGAUGUUAAUUUUUUAAUGACUCAUUCGGCGCCUUACG
Molecule: unclassified non-coding RNA, 520 nt
Filed under: uncultured Glomus
Lineage: Eukaryota; Fungi; Glomeromycota; Glomeromycetes; Glomerales; Glomeraceae
Description: SSU rRNA
Rfam family: Eukaryotic small subunit ribosomal RNA
Source: RNAcentral